RNAcentral lists this small RNA (355 nucleotides) under Histoplasma capsulatum. RNAcentral describes it as "hypothetical RNA". RNAcentral also lists the same sequence under 1 other name. Lineage: Eukaryota; Fungi; Ascomycota; Eurotiomycetes; Onygenales; Ajellomycetaceae. The record is from RNAcentral.
GUGGCCUUAAAGAAGACGUUCCCGAAGGCAAAGGCAUCGGUUUUCCAGAACAAUUAAACAAUUUCCCCUGCCUCGAGAAACGAAACAGCGUAAUGUAUUGUAGGAGAUUGUAGGGACCUCCUCUCCCUCAUCUCCCGGUGUGCCAGAGGAAGCCAAAGGGCCAGCAACGUGUUCUGCCAACUCGUGUUCUCAUUCUCCUUGAGACAUGAAGUCUAUAAUUAUAAUGUGGAAUACAAGGGUGGAUCUAUAUUUGUUAGCUUUCUUGGACGAUCCCGUCCAUGGUCGAGUUCGCAAGCUCCUCCGAUCUCAAGUUGACUUUCUUGGGCGCAGUUAUCCUGCCAAACAUGAAAAGGGA